Molecule: ribosomal RNA, 301 nt
Filed under: uncultured bacterium
Lineage: Bacteria
Description: partial 16S ribosomal RNA
Rfam family: Bacterial small subunit ribosomal RNA
Source: RNAcentral
CAGUAGCGCGGUAAUACGAAGGGUGCAAGCGUUACUCGGAAUUACUGGGCGUAAAGCGUGCGUAUGUGGUGGUUUAAGUCCGUUGUGAAAGCCCUGGGCUCAACCUGUGAAUUGCAGUGGAUACUGGGUCACUAGAGUGUGGUAGAGGAUAGUGGAAUUUCCGGUGUAGCAGUGGAAUGCGUAGAGAUCGGAAGGAACAUCUGUGGCGAAGGCGACUAUCUGGGCCAACACUGACACUGAGGCACGAAAGCGUGGGGAGCAAACAGGAUUAGAUACCCCAGUAGUCCCUGUCUCUUAUACA